GCUGGGCAUGGUAGUGCAUGCUUGUAAUCCCAGUGACUCAGGAGGCUGAAGCAGGAGGAUCAAGAGUUGAAAACCAGCCUCAG
This 83-nucleotide small RNA is filed under the name Marmota monax (woodchuck). The record is from RNAcentral. Lineage: Eukaryota; Metazoa; Chordata; Mammalia; Rodentia; Sciuridae.